Homo sapiens (human) is the source of this 2039-nucleotide long non-coding RNA. The record is from Ensembl. Lineage: Eukaryota; Metazoa; Chordata; Mammalia; Primates; Hominidae.
GCGGCAGCAGGGUUGGGCUCUCGCCGUGAGUCGACGAAGGGAGCGCGGGCGCGCGCCCGCGUCCGCGCACUGAGAGUCGCCUCGGCCGCUCGCUUUCUCGACUCCCGCCUCGCGCCUCGAUCCUGUUCCGCCUCCCUCGGCCCUCCUGCCCGCCCCCACUCGUCGGCCCUCAGCUCAGAGACCUAAUAGGAUGGGGUCUUAGAGAAACAUCUUUUGAGCCACAGACUUCUUUGUUACCAGAAGGAAAAUGAAAGAAGAAAUUUAAAUACCACUUGAAGAGAGGUGCUGCCCAGUUCAUGAGUGCUGCUGCUGUCCUGCCCAAGUACCCAGCUUGCAGAGUGCCAGAGUUAGAGUCCCAGGGGUGUUCUCCACAGCUGCAUGCUUGAUCCAGGCCUAUCAGCAUUGUCUUUGAAUAUUAGCAAAUAAUGGAACAUGGGCCAAGGGUGAACCAUGACGAAUUUGUGUUCCAGCAGCCCUGCUUCUUUAGAAUUGACAGUCUGGCUUCGUGGUUAAUUCACAGCAUCUGAGGAAUACAUCCAAAGAGGGUGAUACUGUGGCAUGAUGGUACCAGGAUUCCAAGUUCAUUCCAGAUCAUUGGGUAGAGACUAGAAAUGUACCGAGCAGUGCGCAAAGAAGAUGAGGAGGGUUCUACAGUUUCUCCAGAUACAUACCAUGACAAUUUGUUUUUUUAAAAAAGAAGAAAGCCUGCAGGAAAAAAUCUACAACUUUCAUCAAAUUACUCAGGGAGACUUUAUUCUAAAGAGACUGAAAACGACCAACAUCAAUUUUGACUCCUAUGGGCAUCUGUAAAUAGCUUCAAGGUUUUAAGGUGAAAUGUCAUGUACCAAAAUACACAUUCUGGAGAAGCAGGAAGCUACAGACCAACUUGAGAUGAAAGUCUCAUAUCAAUGUUUUCCCAAGUGUGCUCCUUGGAAUACAGGUUGACAUGAUAUGAUGCCCAGCAAGGGAAACAAAACAUAUUCAUGUUCAAAUUAGUUGGGGAAAUGCUGGACUAAAUAAGGUUUGAUGGGAUUCUUUUUUCUGCAGGACUUCUCAGAAGGGGCUAGAGUAGGCAAAGUUUCCCAGAUUUACCUAAUAAAAGCAUUGUUUCUGUGGGAGUUUCAUUUGUUAUUACAUGUUUCCUGAAUGCAGAUUCAUAGACUAUCCUUUGGGGAACCCUCGUCCUCACGGGAUGUAUGUUCAUGGUGGUGUCUUCGAGUUUGUGCCCUUGUGAAGCAUUCUGGCAGCAAGCAUCUGAACACUUCCAAAAGGGGGCGAUAUUUAGGAGAAAUCGCUCAGCCUGAGUUAGAACAAAUGCAGCUGCUGGUGUCUCUUGGUGCCUGGGAGCCCUAGAGUGUCAGAGGGAGGAGCGUGCACACUGGAACCAGCAGCCUGGUGCUGCGUCUCAGCUCUGUCGCUAACUGGCUAUGCACCUCUGGGCAUGGCACUUAACCCUUCUGAGCCCCAGCCCGCCAUCUGUAAAAAGGGCUUGAUGUGAGGAUUGAAUGAGAUCAUGCAGGGAACACAAUGUCUGGCACUUGGAAGCGUCCACCAUAAAGAGCCAAGGCAGUAGAUGGCCCAGCUGGGUUUGGUCCAGGCAGAGUUUACCCUCUGCCCUGGAGGCUCCAGGAAAUGCUGCCACGUGGCUCCUAUUGCCUUAACCACAUCCGACCUGUUCCUGACAGCUCCCCACAUCUCCAGCUCCUUUGCUGGUGCUCCAGGCACCUCCAAACGUGGCGAGCCCCUCUCCCCUGCCCUCUUGUGGCAGCUGACCUGGCAGGAGUGGGACCAAGACAUCCAAGGCAGCUCCUUUCCACCUGCAUGGGCACUUUCCUCAGGACAUCCUUGCCCCUGGCACCACCUUGGGCCAGCAAGCCACAUGGAAAUGGAUGCAGAGGCACCACUGUUUGCUGACAAUUAUACACUGUCCUUAAGGUCACCCUUGGCGAUCUGUCACCAGGAGCAGACAAACCCACACCUCAACCAUCCCAUCAGAGCUUGUUUCUAUCUGCAUCUGUCAUCGCUGAUCGCAUUUGAAU